GUGGUUUGGCUUCGGCCCAUUUAGUGAAGUAGUCUAUUGCCACUACUGCGAAUCUGCAGUUUCCUUGUGCUACUGGAAGUGGACCAACUAGGUCCAUCCCCCAUCUCUAGAGAGGCCACGAGGAUGGUAUGAGCUGGAUGGGGAGUGAGGGUGCAUGUGUUUGCCUUGCUAUUUUUUGGCAUGCUUCACAGCUUUGUACAAGUAGAUGUGCAUCCGUGUGGACUGAUGGCCAG
RNAcentral lists this long non-coding RNA (233 nucleotides) under Setaria italica (foxtail millet). RNAcentral describes it as "long non-coding RNA (SITA_LNC005046)". Lineage: Eukaryota; Viridiplantae; Streptophyta; Magnoliopsida; Poales; Poaceae. The record is from RNAcentral.